RNAcentral lists this long non-coding RNA (926 nucleotides) under Nicotiana benthamiana. RNAcentral's name for it is "long non-coding RNA (NBEN_LNC008864)". The record is from RNAcentral. Lineage: Eukaryota; Viridiplantae; Streptophyta; Magnoliopsida; Solanales; Solanaceae.
CAACAUGGUCCACUUUCAUGUAGAAGUAAUGAAAGAUGAUGAUGAUAGAAGUUGUCAGUUGUUACUGUUAAAACUGCAGGCUUCAUGCCUCUUGUCAUUACUGCUUUGACUGAUUUACUAUCUCCUUAUAAUUACUUCCUUUAUAGACAAAAUGAAGUGCUGACCUUCACUGGAUUGGGGCAAGGUCUGCUUACACACUACCCUCCCCAGACCCCAACAUGUGGGAAUUAUGUUGUUAUUGUUGUAUAGACAAAGUGAAGUACUGGAUAACUUUUCAGAAAGGAUAUCUGGGGUUUAUUUUUCUGGUGCAUUGCAUUAUUUAUUGAACAAGACUCAGGCUUAAAGCGUUCGAAGUAGGUGGAGCUCAGAACUGGAGAAGAAGUGGGCUGUUUUUGAUACUCAUAAACACAUUAUUUUGGACAGUAAUCUAUGAUUGAUUCAAGCUCCUCUCCACCUUAAGUUUUUGGGUGUGAAAGAACAGUGGCCUAAAAGUUGAGAGGAAAUGGAAGUUUUCGACACUGCAAAUGUUUAGGGCUGAUAAUUGUGAAAAGUUAAAUGACUAAGGAGGAAUGCUAAACCGAGGUCACAACUGCUUUAAACAAUGAUAACUUUAACCUAAUUUUAAUGAUAAAUAUUACAUAGCAUAAAUGCUGCAAGCUUUACAAUUUUGUGAUAUUAAUGAUUCAGAAGCAUCAUGAUCAACUUUCCUCAUUAAUAUUGCUGUCUAGAGGUAGCAAGAAGAAUAAAUACGGCAAUGCUUUUUUGGUUAUUAUAAUAAAUACAGCAAUCUAAAAGCACUCCUCAAUUUACCAGUAUCGUUGAUUCCACUGAAAAUGAAAUUUUUGCUAGUACAAGAUCCGUAAUCUGGAAAUUCAGAAAAGCUAAUGAAUAUAAGAAAAUGGAGACAUAGAAAAAACAAACUUAAG